Long non-coding RNA from Helianthus annuus (common sunflower), 751 nucleotides. RefSeq lists it as uncharacterized. The transcript has 3 exons. NCBI's taxonomy places the organism in Eukaryota, Viridiplantae, Streptophyta, Magnoliopsida, Asterales, Asteraceae. The record is from RefSeq and is a predicted model, not a curated record.
GACAAUCUCAGAUAAGUAUAGGAAUUUUAGUACAUGAUUGAGAUCAUUUGGACUCAUGUACUGUAAGUCAUUGAAUGUUUUAAUCUUACAAUCAGUUUAAUUUGUUUUUUAUGAAGGUGCUGUUGUCAUGGACAUCAAAGUGAUUGCACAACACCAAGAUCACUCGUCAUCUCAAUUUGAGAAAUUAAACGGAGUUUUCUUAAUCAGCACCGUGUACUUUUUGCUGUUAGUUCCACGUGUUUUUUUAGAUUAAUUGUUUUGAUGAAAAGGAAAAACGUUCGAGAUGUUUGAUCCAAGAACCGAAUAAAACAUAGUAGAUAUUGCUGAAGGAGAUAAAGAUGAUGUUGAUUUCGCUGUUGAAGCUGCACGUUGAUCCACAAUAAGCAUUGCCCAGCUAAGUUUCCUAAAAUGAUAGUGGUUAUAACAAGUUAAUAAGGCAAAACACUUAUCUGCCUAACAACUGUUGGAUAUAACGAAGGUUGUACACAAAGUCUGAUGAACAUCAUCCACUAUUCAAGACCAAACCACUGAUGAAGACCAAAGUCAUGUUGAAGACAAGCACUGAUGAACCAAAGGUCUAAUCAACCAAAGGUGAACCACUGUCCAACAACAACAGUGGUUCAGCAUCAACAUUAGUUAUUCUAUCUUUGUUUAUGUUAACAGUGUUUAUAUGUAACAGUGUUUUUCACAUCACUGUUUUAUAGUCUGUUAGGUUGUUAGAUGUCAUCACCUCAGUGUUUUAUAUGUAACA